This 262-nucleotide ribosomal RNA is filed under the name uncultured bacterium. Its description in RNAcentral is "partial small subunit ribosomal RNA". It matches the Rfam family "Bacterial small subunit ribosomal RNA", at positions 26 to 286 of the family's 1533-position model. The record is from RNAcentral.
AGAAUCAACGCUGGCGGCGUGCCUAACACAUGCAAGUCGAACGAGAAAGUGGAGCAAUCCAUGAGUAAAGUGGCGACCGGGUGAGUAACACGUGACUAACCUACCUUCAAGUGGGGGAUAACCUCGGGAAAACCGGGCUAAUACCGCAUAACAUCUUUGGAGUGGAAAUUCUGGAGAUCAAAGGAGCAAUUCGCUUAAGGAGGGGGUCGCGGCAGAUUAGUUAGUUGGCAGGGUAAUGGCCUACCAAGACGGUGAUCUGUAU